This is a long non-coding RNA of Leptonychotes weddellii (Weddell seal), 4485 nucleotides long. RefSeq lists it as uncharacterized. NCBI's taxonomy places the organism in Eukaryota, Metazoa, Chordata, Mammalia, Carnivora, Phocidae. The record is from RefSeq and is a predicted model, not a curated record.
GAGGACGCAGGCUGCCGCUGAGCCCCGCAGUUCCCUCCCGCUCACCACCUCCCGACCGCACACAGCCAACCACAGAUACUACUCCAGCAAGCGGCCAGAAAGCCUAGAGAUAGUGUGUAGGCUUCGGAGAAGUGACCAUCGCAGGGGCUGGGCGGAAGGUGUGGAGACCACCCGUAGACACCCCGGGCUCAGGCUGGCCUAUUUUAAAGGCAAACGCUCGAUGAAUUCAUCCUUUCCUUUCUCUUCCUCCACCUCCUCUGUGAGAUCUAUUUUAAAAGAUCAGAAUUUUCUUUACAUCCACCUCCAAACUGUGCUGCGGGAGGGGCAGGAACCUCGGUCGGGAGAAUUCCAGCCUACUGAGGGGAGCUGCCCGGACACCUAGAGGCUCGAGGAACCCACGGAAGGCUGUUGAAGUCAGCCUGGGGAGGGGCCCAAGGCAGCUCUGUCCAAAGGACUGGAUGAUGGCAGCAUGGUGGCCCCCAAGAAGUUGCUGGCCUGCCUCUUUCAAGAAGCCCUUCAGGGUAACUCCACAGCACGGCCCUGCUGUUUGAGUCCAGGCUCGUCAACAGCAGGCCUACUGGUGUUGCCUAACCCCUGAAGCUCCCAGCUCACCCCUCAAGGCCUCUGGAUGCGCCCAAGCUUGCCCUCUUAGACCCGCCCCCCCCACCUCCCCAAGCCCAGCCCCCACGCCCCAGGGGAAGCCUUGCUGCCUGGGAUGGGGGCAGCUCAAGGAGCACACAGCAGGGAUGCCAUCGGCGCUUGGUGAACCCGCGUGUGAGGGCCGUUGGAAGACAACUCCCACGCUACAGGUGAGAUGUUCUUGGAGCAGACCGGGCUGGGAGCCCCCUCCCCUGGGGCAGCAGGACACGGCUGCAUGCAGGCCAAGUGGCCAGGCCUGUCCCCAUCACGUGCCCCCUGCCAUGUGGUCACACUGGCUCCAGUGGCCUGAAGAUGGACAGUGAGCACCUGCUUCCGCCCACCUACUCCUUUACCUCGGGGAGUGGGGGUUCCAGAACCCCUUGGGGUGACCCUUGACGGCCUGGUGAGGGCCCAUGGCCUGGAGAGAGCAGUGUGUGCUCUGCUGGGGACCCUGGGGGCAGGCCCUCGCCAGCCAGCAGCAGGACGGCUCCCCGGUCCAGCCCCAAGCACCCCAGCUGUGCCCGCUGCCCAGGGGAGCCCCACAGAGCUCCUGGCCUGGGCAAGCGGGGGAAGAGCCCUGCGAGGGGAGCUGCCGUGUCUGAGGCGCAGGCCUGUCUGGUCUCGCGUCCUGGCCCGCACCCUGCCUUCUGGGGUCCGAGGCUGGGGCAGGCCUGGUGGACAUGCAGGGUCCUGUAUCCUGAGCCAGGUGGGGGCUCUGGGGGUUAAUCAGGACCCGCACGAGCCUGCAGCAGCCGGGACAGGGUGGGAAGGCCCGCGGCAGGGAGACCGCAGACGGUGGCAUUCAGAGCUAAGGCCAAGGCCGGGCAGUUGUAGACCGUUCCUAUGACGGGACACCCACCUCGUUCCAGUAGCCACAUGCUCCCUGCUGCCCCGGGCUUGUGACCAGGCUCACCUCAAGGGCCUGACCUGAGUGCCAGGUAAGCCCAGGCCUGCGCCCACAGCGCUGACCACCCCGCUCCAGGCCCUGGGGCCCUGCAGCUCAGCACUCGCGGGGAGCCCCAUCUGAGAGACCCCAUGGAGGUGGCCGUGGGGCACAAGGGUCCCCAGCCCUCACACCCCGAAACCCCAAGGGAGAACAGACGGGGCGGGCCUCCCGGAUGAGACCCUGUAUGAGCCAGUGGCUGCAGGAGGGAGGGCCCCACUCCUGGUCCCGACCACACAGCCCGCCUCGUCCCUCUCAAGGCCAAGAGCAGACAGCAGCCUGGCCCAGACCCACACCAGGGCCCUUCUGGGAAACGAGACACGGUCUAUUUUUGCUGGCUGACAACACAACAGAAGCAGCCGCUGUGACUUAUCUCUGCCACCCACGGGCGCGGCCACAGAGGCGGCUUUGUGCCCCGGGGCUCCGCAGCCCCCCACCCCCCACAGUCCCAGCCAGAGACAGGGUGGGUGGGGGAGGGCCCCAAUGAGGCCCCUGAAGGCCCUCGGGCCGCCGGCCCCUGUCUGUGUGAGUCAGCACCUCCCAGAUUGCCCCCUGCGCCCCCGCGCACCGGCCCUGGAGAGGUCUCCCACCAGCCCACGCGGGGCCCUCACUCUGCAGGCAGCAUGGCCUACUGCUUUUUGGGGGGUUCUCUCCAGCCCCAGGCAGGGCUAGCCUCUCCGGUCAGGGUCACCCAAGACCCCCACCACACCCCAGUAUCAGAGGGCCUGGAGUCAGGGUCUCAGGGACCGCAAACCGGAGCCCCUCACCCUCUCCACCCCUGCCGCUGGGGAGGAGAAUGGCCCUGCCUGCCCCCACUCAGGCUGGUCUGGUCUGGACUGUGGCACACAGACUUGGAGGAGUCCGGGCUGAGCCGGACACGGGGCAGCACUGCUGGACGUGAGGGUGGACCUGAUGGCCCUCUGGGGCCAGCAGCGUCCUCUCCUGUAACGUCACCACGCCCCGCAAGCCCGGCUCAAGCCUGCAGCAAACGUCAGGACCCAGGAGAUAGCCUGGCUGCUCCCCCCCGCCCGAAGACAUGGUCACCUUCCCCCCACAGCCAGACUGGAGUGGACAGGCCCCUGCGAGGCUGGGCGGGGCUGGGGACAGACGCCAGGCCGCAGCCCCCGUGACCCCAGAGGACCUCGAUGACGUGGACUGAGGUCUCAGAUUGCUGGUCUGCGGGCUCUCGGCUGCCACUUCCCUGCCUGCAGCGUCCCCAGGCUGGUCCCAGGGUCCAAGCCCACAUGGUGCAGCUGAGCCCACCCCACCAAGUUCCAUGCUGGGGUCACGGAUCCCCCCGCAGACAACACCGGCCACGCGUGGCCACAGUGCUCCCGCCAGGGGCUUUGUGCUCCUCAGAGCAAAGCCUGACAUGGGGCUCGUCUCUGGACCCCUCCUCCUCGGGUCCUCGUCUGGUCUGCAGCUUCCAGCGAAUCAGUUGGGGCCACGGGCAGGAUGGGGGCCCAUUCCACAAACACAGCCAGGUGGUCUGCGAAGGUGAGCCUGGAAGGCAGGUGAGGCACCUGUCAGGGGGGGCCGUGCCCACUCUGCUUCUGGAGAGUUCUCGGGGCUGCUGACAUCAACCAUGGCUACUCCAGACGCCCGAGUCCCCUGGAGCCAUGAAGCUGGUGCUGUGGUUGACCAGCGCUCUCAAGAUAUCGCUGAGAUGGGUCAAGUUACAGGACAGUCUACAUACACAGAUGACCUCAUCGCUGUCGUGGAAGGGCAGAGGGCACACGCCUUCAGGCACAACUUCAAUGAGUCGUAAUAAUUGGAUGCACCCACCACUCCCACAGCCACGACAUGGAGCAUUUCACGGCUCCGGAAAGUUCUUUCCUGCCCCCUCCCAGUCAGGCCCCACCCUGCAGGCAACCUCUGCUUGGAUUUCUAUCACCGUUGGUUCCUUUCGCCUCUUCUUGGACUUCAUAGAAAUAGAGUUAUAUGGAGGUAUUAUUUUGGGUCUGGCUUCUUUCGCUUGAAUUUUUGAGGCUCUCCCAUGACAUCCCCUGUCCCCUCUCACUGCCAGGCCGGGUUCCAUUGUGCUCCUACAGCACCAACUCCUUUCCCCAAGUUCCCGUUCAGAAAUAACUUGAGUUGCUCUUUUUUCGUUUUUAGCGAUUAUCAACGGAGCUGCUAUGAACAUGCUUUUACAAGUCUUUCCCCAGACAUGUAUUUUCAUUUCUUUUGGGUAAAUAGCAAGAAAUGGAAUUUCUGUGUGGAACGGUAGAAGUAUAUUGAGCUUUAUAAGAAGUGGUCGAAGAGUUCUCCCACCCGGCCGUGUGACCUCAUAGCCCCACCACCGUGUUCGAGAGUUCCGCCUGCUCCGAGUUCUUGCCAAUACUGGGUGUUGUCAGGGAUUUUUCAUUCCAGCCGCCAACUGGAGAGAAAUGCUAUCUCCUUGUGGUUUUUACUGCAUGUCCUGAUGAUUAAUGAUGUCUGAUGAUCUCAAAAGGUGUUUAUCUUUGGUAGUAGGGUCUUUAUAUAUUUAGGAUAAAGGUCCCAUGUUAGAGAGACGCACUGAAUCCUUUCUUCCAGUCUGUGGUUUGCACUGUAUUCUCUGAGCAAGUGUCUUUGCACGAACAGAUGUUUGUAAUCUUAGUGAAGCCGAAUUUAUCUGUUUUCCCUUUGAUGUGUAUUGUUUUUUGUACCCUUCCUAAGAAAACCAUCUCCUGUUUUCCUUUGCUUUUACACUUUUGUCUAUGAUCCAUCUCUAACUUUUUGUGUGUGGUGAGUUAAGAGCUGAAGUUCAUUUUUUUUCCUCCAUCUGUUUAUCUGCUUGUUCAAUUAUUUGUUGGAAAAAAAUUUCCUUUUCUGAUUGAAUCGCCUCAUCACCCUGGUAAAAAAUCAAUUAACCAUGGUUCACCACAGUAUGGAUGUACUAAAUACACUUGGAAAACAAUCAA